GACGAACGCUGGCGGCGUGCUUAACACAUGCAAGUGGUGCGACGAACCAGGCUUCGGCCUGGGGCGAAGCCGCGAACGGGUGAGUAACACGUGGGCAAUCUGCCCCUUUGAUCGGGACAACCCGGGGAAACCCGGGCUAAUACCGAAUGAGGUGGCGACUCAUGAGAGUCGUCACGAAAGGAAGCUUCGGCCUCCGACAAGGGAUGACCCCGCGGCCCAUUAGCUUGGUGGUGGGGUAAUGGCCUACCAAGGCAACGAUGGGUAGCUGGUCUGAGAGGACGAUCAGCCACACUGGGACUGAGACACGGCCCAGACUCCUACGGGAGGCUGCAGUGGGGAAUCUUGCGCAAUGAGCGACAGCUUGACGCAGCAACGCCGCGUGAGGGAAGAAGGCUUUCGGGUCGUAAACCUCUUUCAGUUAGGACGAAGCUUUAUUGGUUAAUAACCAAUUGGAGUGACGGUACUUUCAGAAGAAGCCCCGGCUAACUACGUGCCAGCCGCCGCAGUAA
RNAcentral lists this ribosomal RNA (509 nucleotides) under uncultured bacterium. RNAcentral describes it as "partial 16S ribosomal RNA". It matches the Rfam family "Bacterial small subunit ribosomal RNA", at positions 28 to 523 of the family's 1533-position model. The record is from RNAcentral.